UCUAUUUGGCUGCCUGAAAUGCUUUCUCUUCAUUCAAAGAGCGGUUGCUGGUCUCCGCCCCUCCGUCUUUCCUUCCUCCUCCCAGUGGCUUCCCUGUUCUUGUUAUCCUGGCUCUCCCGGCUUUUUUGAUUCCCAUCCCGGCUCUGAGGGAAGAAGGACAGGUCUGGAGCACCUGUGAGGCCCAAGCCUGGGCCCCCCACAACAGAUGAUGCAGUCCCCCAACCCCAAGAGCCCCAGAUCAGAGGCCCUGAGCAGAAGCUGUGGUAGGUGAAGUGAAUGCUCAGUCUGGGUGUUAUCUGGGGAGGGGCCUGGGUCUCUGGGACACUCUGACGAGAUGCGCUCCACUGGAAUCUCAUCAUAACCAAGCACCGAUUGGUGGCCUUUUCCUCUGAUGGCCCCAGAGCUCCUGCCUUCUGGCUACUGCUGUCUGUUGGGGAUGAGGUAUGUCAGACUUCCCUUUUUCCAGGUGUUGGCGAGAGUCGGGGCAGUGGGAAAAACACAUCUAUCAGGCAGUCCCAUCCCUGCACGGAGGAGCAGGGAUUGUGCCUCAGCCCCAGAGCCCUGCCCAGUGGGGACCACAUCAUGGACAGACAUGUUCCUGGGUGGCUCUGUGCAGUCACUGCCACCACAGGCUCCUGGGAGGCACCUAAGGCCCAUCGUGAGCCCCUGAAAUGACAGCACCUACCACAGUCAGCUGCCUUCAUGGAAGGCACUGAAUCUGCUGUCCUGGUGGGAUGGAAUUCCCCUUCUGUCUUUCCUGUUCAUCCUCCCCAGGAUCCAUGCCCUCUGUGUGAGGCCAUGGCAGGAUAUGUUGUGGGCAGCUGGAUUUCCGGCCCUCUCUGGUUGCCUUUGACCAGCAGGAAAGGGAUUUGGAGGCAGAUGCAGUGGGCCCUUCCCAAUUCAGACUGAGGAGGAAGUUUCUGCAGGGCAGGAAGGAGAAGCAAUGAAUAGCCACUGUCUAGACCCUCCCCCUGACUCCAUCAUCAAGGUGCUCCAGACAGGCCUGAGAUUCCCUUUUUUGGUCCUAGCCACACUACUCCUGGUGUGAGCCAGGCAGGCAGCCCAGCCAUCUCCUGGUGGCAGGAGAUGUCUUCCUGGCCGUAGCAGGAAGAGUCCCCAGGUUAUGGCCCUGUCCCUGUGCCAGGACCUGGGAUGGGGGUACACUCUGCUCUGGCCCCCCAGGAAAUGAGUUCCAAAGGACUCGGGCCUUUGGAGGAGAACUUGGUGGCUGUGCCUUUCACCUGGCAUUGCAGGAACAUGAACCCUGGUUCAACUUGUGCAAAAAAGCCAGACCCACUGUCCCCACCUCUCAGGCUGCACCACAUGCUCUGGUGGUGAGGGCCUGUUUCAUAGCCCUGCAUAACAGGAGGCUGCUCAGAGCAGAGCUGCAGAAAUACUAUGCGUCCCUUUGGAGUGGAAGGACCUGCGGCCAGGCCAGUGAGGAGCACAGAACAGGGGCAUGAGGCUGGGCUGAAGAGGAGCUGUUUGUCCCGCCUCCCUGGCUGGAGGAGGGCACAGUCCACAGGCUAUUUUUGGGAGCAAGUACUGGCUGGCCAGAAUAUGUCUGCACCUUCCCCCAGGAUAGCAGCACCAACAGAGGGGACCAUCUUAGUCCUGGGGAGUCAUGUGGAAUUGCAUCUACAAUAGACUGUGAACAGGGGCACCUGUCAAUUUACAUUUGUUGGACCUGGUUCUUUUCCCUCCCGGGCUUGCCCUGCAAAUCUUGUUAUGGGAUGGGGAUCAGAGAGUAGAGGGCUUAUCUUGAUUUUCAUGAGCUUAGUGUUAAUAGUAGUCACCCAGGUUGGAGGUUUUUAUCCCUUUCCAUGGCCCUAUACCCAAUGGCCCCACCCAUGAUAUUUUUCAAAGUCCAGUGAAGCAGUGGAGGGAGGAGUGAGGGGGAGGCGAAGAGAAAGACAGGACUCUGUUGGCAGAAGCCCUGCUGUCUUCCAAGACCCUGUGCAAGCUUCUGUGGAGUUCUUGUUGCUGAGAGCUGAGUCCUCUGCCUGGGGCAGGGGUGGGCGGGUUCUUGGCCAUCACGCUUCUGGAAUCCUGAAUCUUACUGUUCCACAGUCGCAGACCAGCCAGGCCCAGGACCUCAGAGCUGCUUGUGGGACCAUGGAGAGUCAUGCUUGCUUCCAGUCGUCACUGAGCCUGCUCUCAUUUUGCAGCUUCUGCUGUGCAAAUUUUUAAGUCUCUCAAACUCUCAUGGUGAAUUUUUUCUCUUCCUUUAGUGGCACCCAGAAGGGCACCCAGCAAUAUACCUCUGGCAUUUGAACCAGCUGGAUGUGGGAUGGAGGGUGUUUAGUGGGUCCUGGAGGGAGCUCAGGCCAGGCCAGGCCAGGGUUUAUCACUGUUAUUGAUGACACAGAUAACAGCCUUGCCCUGAAAGCUUUCACAGAGUUUAUCUCCUUUCUUGUUACUCUGAUAGGGCCGGGAUUGUCCACCCCCUGCUCAGUGAGCGCUAACAUUGAGAAUCCAACAAGAGUGCUGUAUUAAAUCAUAUCUCAGCCAGGCACUAUCGCUCACGCUUGUAAUUCCAGCAUUUUGGGAAGCCGAGGCGGGAGGCUCAUGUGAGCUCAGUUGAAGAUCCACCUGGACAGCACAGUGGGACCUUGUCUCUACAAACAAAACACAAAAACAAACAAACAAGCAAACAAAAAAUUAGCCAGGCAUGGUGAUGCAUGCCUGUAGUUCCACCUACUCAGGAGGCUGAGGUGGGAGACUCGUUUGAGCCCAGGAAGUCAAGACUGUAGUGAGCCAUGAUUGAUUGUGCUACCACACUCCAGCCUAGACGAUAGAGUAAGACUCUGUCUCCAAGCAAAAAACGAAAGAAAACAAAAAUCUCUCCCCUGUUGGAGACCUCUCAGAGUGCUGGGGAAGGGGGUCCGGAGUCCAUAGCCUCGGUUCUCCUCUCCCUUCCCUUGCUUCCUGGCUGUGUGAGGUUAGCUGGAUUAAAUUAUCUCAGGCUUAGUUUUAAAAGCCAAGAGUUGCAUGCUAGGCCCUGAAAAGGGUCAAUUACUAAAUGAUUAGGUCCACUAGAGUAAAAAAAAAAUUAUUCCCUGCUGAAAAAGUAUUUUAUAUUUCUACUUUACACUUUGCUCUGUUUUGGUUAAAUGUGUUAGAAAGGAACAUUUGUCCUUGUUAAAGAAAAUUGUCAGAAGAAAACAAAGUGGUUGAAAUGGAAGGAUGUCCUUGGAUUUGGAGUUCCAAUGAACGAACAUAAGCUCUGGAUGCACACUUCUAGUUGCGAGCACAGCUCUGGUGUUAAGUACAGGUGGAGAAAGGACUUCUAUUUCCUCACUGGAGUGACUGGACUAUUGUCUAGUCAACACUCUCUUCCUCAUGGCACCAUGUUUCCAGCCUCUGCUGCAGGCCACUGUGGCCCUGGGAUGGAGUUCUCCAUGGGGGAUGUGGGCGGAGGUGGCUGCUUUUAAAAUUAGCUGUGUCUUUCUUCACAUUCUCUCCUCUCAUUUGCUGGAUAGACAAAGAGGGCCUGGGGACCUCCGAGGCGUUCAGGGUGACAGGGCCACUAAGGAGGGAAAGCCUGAGUCCCUGAAGGUUUGUGUGGAGCGCUCUUUCCCCCAACCUAUGGUAGACUAGGACAAAGGAAUAAACAAACUUAUAGCUUAUUAGGUCACUGAACGCUAAGAGUUGUUUUCAUAGAUGUUAACUCAUCUUGGCCAAUAUUCCUAAAAACACAUUGAGGACAGGGACACUUAUUAGUGUUCCUUGUUUGCAGAGUCUAGCUGGUAACGGCACAAGGAUGUUUACAGAAUGAAUGAGUGAGGGACACAUGUGUCUUUACUUGGGGCAGCAUGGUUCUCUGCUUUUCUUUCCUUUUGUUUUCACAAGAUGAUGGAAGAAGAUAGUGCUGAGAUCAGACAGUGCUACGGUCUGAUGGUGUCCCCCCAAAAUUCAUAUGGUGAAAUUCUAACCCCCAAAGUGAUGGUGUUAGGAGGUAGUGCAUUUCGGAGGUGAUGAAGUCAUGAGGGUGAAGCCCUCAUGCAUGGGAUUAGUUCCCUUGUGAAAGAGGCCCUAGAGCUGCCUUACCCCCUCUAUCAUGUGAAGACACAGUGAGAAGUCAUGGUCGAUGAGGAAGGGGCCCUCACCAGUCACCCUUGCUGUGGGACUUUCUAGGCUCCAGAACUGAGAGAAAUAAAUUUCUGUCAUUUAUGAACCACCUGUCUAUGGUAUUUUGUAAUAGCCGCUGAAAUGGACUAAUGCAACAUUUUACGUAGAAAAAUGGGGACUUCCUAGUUCUUAGCAUCUUCUUACUCCUUUACAGGAGAAUAAAAUCAUUAAGAGUUAUUGAUGCCAGCACUGCCCUGGAGGGACCAAGGGAAAGGGACUUGUUUUCCUUGUAUUUACCUUUCUUUAAACCUGUCCUGUAGCUGCAUCAGAUGGUCAAAGUGGCAUCACCUUAACAGUUAUGCUUAAUUGUUUUAAUAAAUAAUCAUAUUUAAUAGGAAAAGAAUAAGGGAGUCAAAGAGUUUUCUAUAAUGAUGUCCUUUACUUGACUGUGUUCUUGGAAUCUCUGAUUGCUCAGAACUACAGACAAAGAUCACACCAGGAAAGAGCCUAGGUUAAAAUGAAAUUCCACAUUAGUGUUAAAUUUGCAAACUUGAAGUGAACACAAGCAUCGUGUAUUUUUAGUCUGUUCUUAUGCUGCUGAUAAAGACAUGCCCAAGACUAGGUAAUUUAUAAAGGAAAGUGGUUUAAUUGACUCAGAGUUCCACAUGGCUGGGGAAGCCUCACAAUUAUGGUGGAAGGUGAAGGAGGAGCAAAGUUACGUCUUGUAUGGCAGCAGGCAAGAUAGCAUGUGCAGGGGAACUCCCCUUAAUAAAACCAUCAGAUCUCGUGAGGCUUAGUCACCAUCACAGGAAUAGCAUGGGAAAGACCCGCCUCCAUGAUUCGAUUACCUCCCAUGAUUCGAUGUCCCUCUCAUGACAUUUGGGAAUCAUGAGAGUUACAAUUCAAGACGAGAUUUGUGGGGGGUCAUAGUGAAACCAUAUCACAUGUCAUUGAAUAUUUUGUGUAUUUCCAAAAGGGUUCUAAAUUGUCUCUCCACCAUGCAUAAAAAUGUAACUCCAGGUAUGUUCACCUCUGGGCUGCAUGAACCUGCUCAGAAUCAGACAGCCCAUGAACAUCCUCCAUGUUCAACUCCACAGAUGUCACAGUUGACUUUCAUUGACAGCCGACAACCACUAUGCUUUAUUGAAAAAAUGUAGGAGGAGAAACGUGCAGAAUGCCAUAUGGUACACAAGGACUGGAAUAUGAUUUUAGAGGCUGAGGUGUUUGAUAUUGGAACAUGCCAAGUAGAUUGUGGACUCCUUAAAUGACUUUAUUAUGGAUCUUCAUGUCAAAGGGGGAGUUUUAAAUGGAGAUGUCGAUAGGCUCAAUUAUUUCCAUGUGUUAUUACAUUUUCCUUUGUUGUAGACCUGGCUAUGUGCUGUGGUUGGCAUAUUUGUACCUACCUAAUCUUAAAUGGAUUUUACUAGAUUUAGUGGCUACAAACACCCAAUUUUCAUGAGUAGAUUAGGGGGCUCUUUGAAAAAUGGGGCUAAAAUCCUCUAAAGAUGGAAUCCAGACGAAUGCGUGUGUAUUUAUUUUGAGCUACCAGAACAAUCUUGGGCGUGUCUUUCUAUCUGUUCUGUGUACAGGCUUCGACUUAAAGUUUUUAAUGCACAGACACCAUGCCAUGGAUGUUGAGUCUGCAAGGACACAGCGGGAGCCCAGCGGUAGCAAGCUGCAUUUUCAUUCUGAAUGUCUAGGAGAUUAGAAUUUAAUGUAGCUCACAAGAGUUAAGGUUUUCUUCCAAAUCCUUUGACAUGUUGUGGAUAGUGGAUUCCAAGUUUAUGAUCACGUUUAUUAGCGCCUUCUGCUGAUUUUCCUGUGGGAGAAUGCUUUGCCCUUUCUGGUGGAUAGACUUGUUUUUCUGAAGCUUUGGGAGGCAGGGGUAGCGAUGAUGAUGUUGGAGAGGUUGCCUCGCCCCAACAUUUCCUCCUCCCUGUCUCCUCCCAAGAUGUGGGAGUCAUAAAACCCGAGUUAAACUGAGCAAAAAUGCAAAACCUCACUGCUCGAGGCAAGAUGCCUCAGAGCAGAGGCCCUGAGACGUCAUCGGGGUGGGCACCCACAUGGACUGAUUUCAGGGGUGAGUGUGGUGGGUCGUGGCUUUAAAACGUAGCCUGAAUUCUGUGAUUCUCCUCCAGUUGAGAGAUGGGGUCCCCUCCUCCAAACCCUUCACAGUUGGUAACUCCCUGACUCCACAGCAGCCGGGCACAGGGAGGGUGGGCUGAGGCCCAGCUUGGUGGCUCUGAUCUGGGAUCCUCUCUUUGGUUAAAGCCCCAUGCUGCUGGGAGGUCCAGGCUUCUCUCUGUCAUUAAGGGUAUAAAGGUCAGGUGGGAAGUUCUCAGAUAAGAGAAUGAAGAAACAGAGGAAGUCAGGUAGGCCUCCUUCUGCCUGUGCUUGGGGACAACACAGCCAGGCAGAGCCACAUGCGCCACAGCAUUUUCUGUUCCUGAGUGGCUCAGCUUCGGGAAGCCUCUUGUGUAAGGAGGGUGGUCUGCCAAAUAUCUUUUUCUUGGGAAUGUGUGACUCUGCAUUUGUGAUGCCAGCCUGGGGCCACUGCUGCUGUUGCAGGCUGUGAAACUCAGGAGUGGCUGCAGGGGCGGGGCUUUGGAGUUUCCUCUAAGAAAGAGGAAGGCGCCAAGUUCAGGGCUCUGGGUGGUCUCCAGCUCAGUGUCUGCUUCAUGGGCUAUGGUAAGACGGAGAGCAUGGCUGUCUGUUUGGAAGAAGGGAGCAAACUGUCCCCACAUGUGAGAGAUACCAGGAGGCUCAAUUCCAGUCACAGGGAAGUGACCUGUCAUAUCUCUGAGUCUGAGAAGAUGUCCAGCUGGGGACACACCAAGGCAGAGCUUGGGUGUGAGGUCAGAGCAGGAUGGACCGUGCUGUGUGAAUACAGGGAACGGAACUCUCGCUGGGUGAGGCUUCCUAAUAGAAGCACCGGGAGCACCCACUUUCUGUCGCUGGACCUUCCUUGUCUGUGCUGUGGAUUGUGGAUUCUGAGUUUAUGGGUCCCUCACACUGCAUCUUUGUGAGUGCAGUCGAUAGUGUGAAACUCUGUCUAGGUGGAGGAGUGGGGCUGGGGAGAGCUGGAGGGUCGGUUUUGGUAGAGUCAGCACUGGGGACUACCUUCUUUGCUGUGUGGGACCCUGUGCCCAGAGCAUCUCCUUGGAGCAAUCUUUUAACAAAGUUCUUUGUAUGGUGAGCUAGUCACUCCUUCCAAAAUGAGUCUGGCUGGACUUUUCCCUUCUCUGUCUAGGAACAGAGCACAUGUUCCUGCUGCGCUACCCACAUGUUACCAAAAAAAUCAAAGAAAGGUGGAGCUGAGUUAAUGACACUGACACCCAUGUGCUUGGGGCAAAGGCACGGAUGGCUGUCCCUGUCUUUGAGGUUCAAGUGAUUCUCCUGCCUCAGCUUCCCAAGUAGCUGGGAUUACAGGCACACACCACCACGCCUGGGCAAUUUUUGUAUUUUUAGUAGAGAUGCGGUUCCACCAUGUUGGUCUGGCUGGUAAGUUGACAGUUUUUAAAGCAUAUUGAUAUAUUUAACCCAACUGGCAUCUGCUUUCAUGUACAUCUUGAGGGUGUGGGGUUUUUGGGGCAGCUCUUUUCAACCUGCUGAAUCCCUUGUAAUUGGGACACCACUGGCCUCGAUGGAACCACAUCCCUUGCCUCACCCCACGUGGCCACUGGCUGUGAUGCCCACUCCUUUCUCACAGCUCCUUCCUGGGCUUCAGCGGAGGCCCCCAACCCUAAUUUCCAUCCUUCUCCUGCAACUGCUCCUUCCAGAAUCCUCCCUGGCCCCCUCCUGCCACAUUACCCUUCCUCCAGCCUAGCAGGUGAGACCUCCCCCAGGAGCCCCAGAGCUGAUUCCAUGCCUCUGUCUCCUGCCCACCACCGUGUGGUCUGUGUUCUACUGGCUAGCCCCCUGCCAGUGCCCCCAGACCUUCCCUCUCUGGACACCUGCCUUUUUCUCCUCCCACCGCUGACAGACCCCACGCACUUCUGUCUUCUCCUCUACUCCCAUUGUGAUAGGUCCCCUCCACUCUGGCCAUGUGGGUGACCAAGCAGAUCCCUCCUCCCAGCCUAGGCCUUGUUGCCAGUGACCUUGCAGCUUCCUCCUACCCAAGGACUCUUGCUCCAGACUUCGGAGUUGCCUGGGCUUCCCGCAGCCCGACACCUCAUAGCACCAUGGCUUUGCAGGGGUCAUUUCUUCUGUGUAGAAUUCUUCCUCAAGCUCCCAGUCUGGCAAAUCCCUAUUUCCUUGACAGCCCAGUUUAAUCCACACCCUCUGCAGCAUCCCCUGACCUGCCAAGUGACUGGACCUUCCUCCCUGCUGCCUCAUAAUCCGGCAGAGCCUGUGCAAGUCGAGCUUGGUCUGAGACUCUGGCAUGCCAGCUCACUGUUGAUUGUCAAUGAAACCUUGAGCUCCUGGAGGCCAGAGACCCAAUCCUCUUGCCCUUGGCCCCAGGUGGCAGGGCCUUGAUGAGAAUAAACCUUUGAAACGGAUGGUCUUGGAAAGCAAGGAGGACAGGGGCUGUCCUUGUAUAGGUCAGGCGGGACUUGGCAGCAUGAGUAAGUAGCCAGCCACCCCAGGCACUGUUGCGGGAACUCAGGCCUGUGCUGCCCUGUGUGUCCUCUCAGCUGCAGAGCUGCAACCAGGAGGGUCCAUGGCUGGAAGCCUGCCCAGCUUGCUGGAAACUUCUUUUUUAAAGCAUGCAUUUUGUUCUUCAAAUUCCAAAGCCUCACCCAGCCCUGUAAAAAUGAUGGCUCCUAGAACUACCCUGCUAUGCAAAAGGCACCUGGCACCCCUCAGGGGCAGCGAUGGCUGCGAAGACAUAUUGGGACUGGGAUCUCCUGCAGGGUUGGGCAGGCCCUGCCUGUGCGUGCAUACACACCGCUGGAUGCUUUCCCUAGGCCCCUGGAGUGAAAGUGAUGUUGCCCCUCCACUGCCUUCAGCAAGAGGUUUUAAUUUCCAGGUCCUGAGAGCAUGGAGUCACCCGGAGUGCUGGCUGCUGGGUGGAAGCACACACUCUGACCUGGUCAGAGCUCAGGUCUGGUCACAGGCUGGGUCACUUUGGACUUUUGUCUUCUCAGCAUGGAGUGACUGAGUCGGCCCAGCUGCUUUUCAGCCUCAGAGGCUGGCUAGCGGUGGGGUGCAGACCCCGCCUCUGAGGAGAAGAGCUUAGCUGUCACAUCUCUAACAGUCCAUCUGCAUGACAGGCAGUCGUCUCCCCACCGGACUUCCUAGAAAUCUGGGUUAGCAAAGCAUCAAUAUGUAAGUUGCCACCACUUCCUUCCUCUUGGGCAGCCACCAUGAACUCACCACAGGCUGUGUCUGAACAUGACAUCAGAAUCCUUCCCAACACUUGAGAACUGUGUGCUGCCGGAAGGCGCCCGUCCAUAGCUUGAGGGAUAACACUGACCACGUCCACAGUGACCAUCACAGAUGGCGACACCAGGGUCAGGGGCUCCAUUGGGGAUUCUAGUUCAGCUCUUUUGUUUGCAGGAUGACAUGGUUUGGAUCUGUCUCUCCACCCAAAUCUCGUGUCACAUUGUAAUCCCCAGUGUUGAAGGUGGGACCUGGUAAGAGGUAAUUGGAUCACGGGCAGGACUUCCUUCUUGGUGCUGUUCUUACGAUAGUGCGUGCUGGCAAGGUCUAGUUGACUAAAACUGUGUAACACCUGCCCCACCCUUUCUUCCUCCUGCUCACUCCCGUCCUUGCCUUCUGCCUUGACUGAAAGCUUCCUGAGGCCUCCCCAUGCUUCCUGUGCAGCCUGUGGAACCAUGAACAAAUUCAACCUCUUCUCUAUCCAUUAUCCAGUCUCAGGUGUUUCUUUAUAGCAGUGUGAGAACAAACUAAUUCAGAGGAUGACACAGAAGCACAGAGAAGAAUCUCAUACUCUUCUGACCAAGCUGAGCGAGACUUUGGUUCCAAUAAUGAAGACGUGCAGUUCCUAUAAUGAGGACAGAGGAUCUCCUUGAAUGGAAAGCAGUUUUUUGUCACCAGAAUCUCAGAAACAGUACCAGGGAUCUAUUAAAGCCUCAGUAGGUACUCAUUGAAAUAAAAAAAAAAAACAAUUAAAUGCCCGUCUUUGCUAAUAAUGCCUCUUUGCCCAAGCACAUUAGCCUGAGCGUGAGUCCUGCAUGUAUUGAGGUGUAUGUGAAAGUGCAUUUGCACAUCAGCAUGUUCCUACGGUAAAAACCAGGUAGUGCUGCUUUGACAAGGUUGGACGCAGCAGAGAGGCAGCGCCCGUGCUGUGUCACUGCUGUAACAGCUUAGUGCUGCUGGAGAUAUGGAGAGCUCACAGAGGGGACUGGAUGUGAAAUAGUGACUCAGGUCCCGGUGAUGUUGCUUCACACACACGACCUCUCCCCACCAUGUAGACACUGAGAACAACCAUCAUUUUAUUGUUAACAGCUAAUUGUGUGGGUCAGGGAUUUGAACAGUCGGUCGGUCCCUGCCCCACAGAGCCAGUGGAGGUUACCUGUGAUACCACAUCUGGCAGGUGGAUUUUUCUGGGAAGUCCAAGACAGCUUCACUCCCAUGCUGGGGCCUUUAUGAGGGUGGCCAAGAGGCUGAGCUUGGCAGGGGCCGUAGAUCAGAGCAUCACACAUGUCUCCAUUUUGAUUGUCUUGGGGUCUGUGGACUUCCAGAGGGAGAAGGUUGCAAGGGAGGAGGUGGAAGCUGCCAGGCUUCAUGAGCCUCCAGUGUGCGUCUCUCCUGGUAUAACCCCUGGAAAAGUCAAUGGGGCUAGACCAGGUUCAUGGGGCUAGGAACCAGCACUACUUCUCCAUGGGAGCAGGAGCCGAGGUUUUGCAGCCACCCUUCAUCUGUGCAGUGACGGGCCUUGAGAUGAGUGCAGCGUGCAUGGAGAAGGGAGAACCAGCCCUCCCCGACGAGGAGGCUGUGCUGAGCCUGCGUGCUUGCUUCUCUGCCAGGCUUCUCCACAUUGCUCCAUUGCUUCUCUGCCAGCUCUGUGCCCCUAGAGGCUGGCGCUUAGCAACAGCAUCUUCUUCUCCCUAACUCCUCACCCCUGCCCCUCACCCUUGUGGACACAUCCCUUCGUGAAUCCGUCUUCUGUUAACCCUGUGCCUGUGUCCUCUGUUCUCAACGUGGGCCUGACCCUGAUGGCACAUUCAAAAAGAAUUAAAUAGUUCGUAAUUUUACAAUAAAAAAGAUGACAAAAAUUGUAUGAUCAAUUAGUAAUAAAAUGCCACAUGCUGAAAAGUAACUUGGAAGAUUUUCCUUCUUUGGAAUGCCUAAAAGGUUAUCAAGUCCCUUUCGGAAUUGACGACUAUGCAGAAGUGUUUGCUCCAUCUUACAAAUUCCAGGCCCAGGAUAACCCCUGAUCUCCAGCCGGAGCAUCACACAUCUGUCCUGCUGCCCAGGUAGCAUGAGGCUCUCGGCUCGGCUUGUCUUCUUGGUGCAUUGGGCACUCUCCAUCCACCUUGGGAAGCAUGGCACAGGGUGUGGCCAGCAGGUGGUAGCUUCUGUAUCAGAUGCUCCACAUGUGCGAUGUGCUCCCUCUCCUCUCAAGAUGCCUGCUCUGUGCAGAAAGAGAUUCCACUAGGUAGCCUUGAGAAAAGGAGACUUCAGCAUACUGUUGGUGGUUAAUAAACGCCAGCUCCCCUCUGUGAUCCUGUUGCUUCAGGAGGGUGGGUGAGAGGAUCCAGGCUCACGGGGCUUGCACUCAUAUUUUCUUGAAGAAAAACACAGAAUUCUGAGUCCCAUGUUGGGUAUGGGUGGUGAGGGUGGUGAGGCUGAGUGCACGCUGGGUUCAGGGAGGGCUUGAGGUGCCCAGGUUCCAUCAUGCACUGAUGUCACAGAGGGUGGCACUGAUGCUUCUGAUUUGAUCCUCAUGGCAGCCUGCCAGCAGGGUCAUGUGGCUGUGGCACCUCAAGUGUAUAGUGAGGACAUGGAGAUGGUGUGUUAUGUCUUGUGCGCAGAGCCCGUGGCUGGCCCUGGAGAGAUGAAUGUGGUCUGGAGCUCCAAUCCCUAAGAAAACAGAAGCAGCUGACUCUGUGCGAAGAGGCCAUCUGGAAGCCACCCUCAGGGGCCGAACGCUCCCAAGGUGCCGAGCUGAGCUACAGACACCCAGGCCUGAAAGCCCUUCCUCCGGAGCGGACCGUCCAGAUUUGGAACCACUGCCAUGGACAAUUAAGCAAAGAAAGAGGUCCAGAUGAUGCGCUGCAGGAGAACAGAGCUGGCCCAGGAACACCCCACUUCUGCUCCUUCGUCCCUGCUGCAGAGACCUGGGAAGGCCCUGCCUGGCACACAGCACACUGGGGCGGCCCCACUGCAGCAUCUGGGCUGCCAUACCCAAGGUGCUUCCCAGCCCGAGAGGCUCCUAGCAGCUCUGACACCUUCUGUUGUCAUGUCACCUGGCCCCUCACCAUCACUGCCCUCACCUCUCCUGGGUGGGUAUGUCCAUAUCAUUCCUGGCCUCAUUUAUUUAUCUAGUUUUGAGACAAGGUCUUGCUUUUCACUCAGGCUGCAGUGCAGUGGCACCACCUUGGCUUACUGCUACCUCUGCCUCCCGGGGCUCCAGUGAUCUUCCCACCUCAGCCUCCUGAAUAGCUGGGACCACAGGUGCACAGCACCAUGACCAGCUAGUUUUUUGCACUUUUGGUAGAGACAGGGUUUCUCCAUGUUGUCUGUGGUUAGUCUCCAACUCCCGAGAUCAACUGAUCUGCUCACCUCAGCCUCCCAAAGUGCUGGGAUUAAAGGCAUGCGCCGCUGCACCCGGCCUCAUCUAAAGAUGGGGAAAACCAGAUCCUGAGAAAUUUCCUCACUGUUGACGAUAGCUGCCAGCAGACACCAGAUUUGGGCUCUGAGUUAGCAAGCUCUGGCCAUGUGCUUCAGUACGAGCCCAGAAAACAUCCCCAGAGUUGUUUUUAGAACGAGUUCUUCUUACUUACCCUUAGUAGUUCCCACGAAAGCCUAGUGUUACUGUUUUAAAUACUGAGUUCAUGAACCAAAGAUUGGGGCUCUCACUGGUUCAUCAGCUUGUUUCGUGUUUGGAAGGAGACCCAUAUUUAUGCCAGAAUGUGGCAUUUCUGUCUGUGUACUUACUACUCUUAGCUGGGAAGUGGUUUGAAUAAAGCUAGAAAAGCCAGCAUGUUUAGUUAUGAAUCCUGGUUUGCAAAGGUGCUGACUUUGGUUGUACACAGCGACCCAUAGCUUUGGCUAAGUUUAGCUUUACCUAACCUUCCCACACAGCUGUGGUCUUCUCUGUGGGGCCUACACAGAGGAACACCCCAGAAGAGGAGCAAAAGUGGGUUGGUUGAUUACCGACAGGGCAGGGGCACCACAUCCCAUUUUUAUACUCACAUUCUGGAAGUCAAGGGGCCUCUAGAAUGAAGGUGUUCAGAACUAAGCAAAGUGGGCAAGAAAUGAGAAAAAAGGUGCAAGGUGCUGGGGUCACUGGGGAAGGCGGAGGUUUCCUGGUUCAGAACCCAGUCAUCCAAGUGAAACUCUUUAGAAUUUAAAACACGUGGACACAGAGUUGAUGGUUAAUUUACAGGUUUUGGCCAACAUGUGAGGUACUCUCCAGUACUUUUGAGUUGGCCUGGGGCCCAUGCGGCUGGCUGGGCAAGGCUGGCGUGUCAGAGGCAGAGCUAACCAGCUGCCUUCUUGGACCCCCCAGGCACUCAGAACAGGGCUGACCUUUUUUGUUUGUGGCCUGGGUUUUGUGCUUCUGCACAGGUUUGGUCACACAGUCCAGGGAUUGACAAGGGAGACUCGGAGGGUCCACCAAAGGCCCUACGCCUGUGCUGAGGAUGGAGCUUAGGAAUCAUGGCUGGGCAUGGACAGCGGCAAAGGGCUUUCCCCUGCCUUGCCUCACUGUAGGGCUGGGUUCUGCUGCCGGUGUCAGUGCUCACCGUGGGAGUGGGUCUUAGAGGGGCCUGCUUGAAAUUCGUGGUGGCAUUUUUUGGUUAAAACAAUGACCAUAGGGACUACUGCCUUUGUGGUCCAGGGCUGAGGACACUAGAGGUUGUACAAGGCAGAGAAAGCCCCACACAGACAGACGGCACUGUGGCUGUCCUCGCUCCAUUGGCCGUUCAUCUGGGUGGCAGAUCUGUGUUUGGGGGUUGGUUUGGUCCCAUGCCUGUGUUUUGUCAGUACCACGUGCUUCUUCAUGGCUCUAGUAGACACUGGAUUUCCCAGGGCUGCAGCUAUGGCAGGGACUAAGGGAGGAUCCAAGCUUUGCCAAGCUUUGUUCAUAAUUUCAGAGAACCACAGCCCCAGUGAACGCUGGAAUCACCAAAGCAAGGCCCACCAUCUGGCGGAAUACUCAGAAAUUUUACCUGAAUGCACGCAUGUGAAGACUUGAUUUGUCAUCUGGGGUAGUUGUACCUAAACAUUUACUAUCAAAAUAGAUGUUAUUGUUUAUUAUAUCUAUUUUAGUUUUCUUUUAUAUUACUAUGAAAGCAUUACAUAUGUGAUCUAUCUGUUUACCUAUCUAUCAUCUAUCUAUUUAACUAUCACCUAUCUGUCAUCUAUCUAUCUGUAUCAUCUAUAUUUCUCUAUCAUCUCUCUAUCCAUCAUCUAUCUAUCACAUUAUAGAUACAUCAUAUUAUCCAAACAUUUCAUUUCGGGUUAGUACAGAGAAUGUUAAAAUUAUUCAUGAUCAAAGGGGCUGUUUGAUUCCAGAAUUCCUAUAAAAUUGCUGAUGGAAUGGCCCUACAGCCCGGCUUCCCUCCACAGAGCCCCCACCUUUGGAAAGAUGUUCUGCCUGAGGCUCACCCCGCCCUUGCUGCUCUGCUCCGCAGGGGCUGGGCUGGAUCCCCCAGGCCAGCGAGCCCUGGCUGUAUUUCUCCCCUUGUGAAACUUGCUGGAGGUUUGUUGCCAAGUCUGUCCUGGCCAAGCACCUGCUCCCCUCAGAGCAUCACGCCCAGCUAGUUCCCAGAGGUGGCCGAGUGUUUGCUUUCAGGACACUCAGUGGUACUGGGAAAUGUGCGUUGACACAGGAGAUGUGAUGGGCAGAUGGGAAGAGAGGAAGGAGGGAUGCCACUACCCAGCAGGUUGCUGGGCAGUCUGUGGAUCCCAAGAUUGGGGUCAAUUCCUUGGGUCGGUCUCAAUGUUGUGGGAGGAAAACAUAAAGGAGCCCAGAGCCACUUCCUAAGGGCUCUGGAACCUGUCCAUAUGAAAUAGGCACCAACACUCAGCUGUGAUCUCUUUGAAUAUGACAAGGGUAAAUUCCAACUUUCCCUUUUCCAGGUUUAGAACACUUAAAUGCAUUUUCCUGAAGCCCUUCAGCCUCCAUCCAGUAGGAUGCCCUCCCAACUUCUUGCAGAGGCCCCAUUGCUGUCACCUUUCCAUGUGGCAGGCAGCUGAACUGUGUGCAGGGAUCCCCCUUGGAGAGGCAAAGCCUUUGAUGUGCAGCAGGCAGCAGACAGAUCUGAAGUAGUCAUCUGACUUCGGCAACUGGUUCGCUUUCCUCAUGGCAGGUGCACAAUGGGUCGUGUUUCUUUGUUGAUUCUGAAAUUAGCUUUGAGAAGAAUUCUGGAAGAGGGGAUCCAAAGCUAUGUGGAAUAAAAUCCUGGAAGGAAGUGGAGGGCCCUUCCCAGGCAGUGUGACUUUGGCUGUGUAAGUUCUGGUGAUUUUUGCGGGGAGACUCCAGGCUUAGGGUCACACCAACCAUGUGCACAGUCUGGAUUAUUGAGUUGAAAAACAUGAGUGCAUGCUGCAGCUGGUGCUACGGAGUCCCGUGGGCAGUUGUCCUGAGAGAAACUUGGAUACGUAGGGUGUGUGUGUGUGCGUAAGUGCUGUGUAUAUGUGUGCCCACAUAUGUAUGUGUGUUGUGUGCAUGUGUGUACAACUGUGUGUUUGUGUUGCAUGGGUGUGCAUGCCUGUGCAUGUGCCCUGGGAGGGUCAUCAGAGGGGUAGGAAGAGGACAAACAGGCCCCCAGAAGCCCUUUGCAGGAGGCAGUGAGCAGGCAGGAUUCCCAAGACCUAGCCCUGAUCCAAGAGGCAUUUGGAGGCCUCCCUCUGAGUCUUCUAUGAGCCUGGGUAAGCUGUGGAUACAUCUUCUCUGGUUUGAGAGAGAUGGGAGCAGAUGAGCCUUGAUGUAUUCCUGUGUGUGUUUACAACUCCUUGCACCAUCCAAUGACAAGCAGAUGCCAGCAAUGGUGGCCAAGUACUGGGGCCUCAUAGAGAUCCCGGUCUUCUUUGAGGCUGGUGCUGUGCCUGCUUUAUGUGCCCACGGACCUUCACCUGAACCUUUGGAGCCAAACAGCAUUUGGACCUGGACAUUUUUUGGAUUCUGGUGUGGAUACCACAUACCCUACAUCACCCCAUGAGGUAUGGGGAGAAUCCUAUAAGCAAAUGGGUUAGUGUUUCACAGUGAAACCAAGUCAGGUAAAUAAGGACACAAGGGCAAUCAGGUCAAGCUUGGCCUCCAAAUGGGUUGUCAAACAAUAAUCAGUUCUUGAAGUUUAUUGGGUUUUGAGUGACUGCUUAGCAAUUGUAGACUCGCAAAAGUCAACAAACUCAGUUGACUGAAGAAACCCAGUUGACCGAACCAACCCAGGUGACCCAAAAGUCAGGCCCCUUUUUGGCCAUCGGGUUUGGCUCUGCUUGCAGAUGGGCCCUGUGCCCUCAAGUGGGGGCUGGGUGGGGGACCCAAAGGCCAGCACAGUUGGAUGUUACUGGGAAGAGACCUAGGGGAGGAGGGACCUGAACAUUGGCUCAGGUCCAGCCUCUGCUAAGGUGAAUCACCCCUUGGAUAGUCUGGAGCCCCCAGGAAGGUCAGCUGGGGGCACGAGCCAGGACAACCAAGGGCAUUGAUCAGAGACAAGUGGCUCCAGUGUGGGCACCAAGUACUUAGAGUUCAUCUGCUCUGCCCAGGCAGUGCUCUGGGGGAAGAGAGGGGUGGCUCCUUUGUCAUGUGUCAUGCUGCCCUUUGUCCCAGUGGACCCAGCAGAGGCUGGACCUGGGACGAGCAGCCUAUGCUCAGGGGGAGGGGCAAAGGGGGAAGGCCAGAAGGGGAGCCUCCCUCCACAGUGCCCUGACAGGUAAGGGGCCACAGACGUGAGGGCUUUGUGAGUCCUGUAACUAGGAAUGUUGGCGCCAGCUGUCCUGCAUCCUGAGUGUGCGGGGCUAUGGGGAUCCAUCAUCCCACCUAUAGUGGUGAGAGGCGCCUCCAGGUUUAGGCCUGCUGCAGGCUCUCCUAAAUCUGAGAAAGGGUUUCCUAUCUACCCAGAAGAAAGGAAGGGCCCUAGAAUUAGCUUUAAAUUAAAUUAAACAAAAAUAACAAAACGUGAUGUGUUUGGCCUAAGAUUUAUACUCACUAUGUCCACCACUUUAGGUCUUCUGGGGAGACAGAGGCACUUAGGGCCAGACAUGUGGAGGGUGGACGGCCGCAGGCAGGAGCCUCUGGCGAGAGAAGCCUCUAGAGAUGCUCCUCAUCGUCCCUUCUGGGAUUUUUUUUCCUAGUUGGAGAUUUUUUUUUAAAAGAACUUGAAAAAUAAUUCUAAAAUGAAUGAUACACACACAAGAGUAUCUGUAACUUACAUAUACAUAGAAAUAGCAAUAAUAAAUGAAGACAUACCCAGGUUAGCAGUUAGAACGUUACCCUGACCUCUAAAUGGUCCCAUAAGAUUCUUUUUAUUUUUCUUUUUUUUUUUUCACUUUCAUUACAAUAAUCACUGGCCUGGAUUAUGUGUUAAUCAUUACCCUGUCUUGUUUAAAGUUUUACUGUACAUGUGUGAGUCGCCAAGCAAUA
Molecule: non-coding RNA, 17791 nt
Organism: Callithrix jacchus (white-tufted-ear marmoset)
Lineage: Eukaryota; Metazoa; Chordata; Mammalia; Primates; Cebidae
Source: RefSeq, a predicted model, not a curated record